Long non-coding RNA from Gracilinanus agilis (Agile Gracile Mouse Opossum), 374 nucleotides. RefSeq lists it as uncharacterized. NCBI's taxonomy places the organism in Eukaryota, Metazoa, Chordata, Mammalia, Didelphimorphia, Didelphidae. The record is from RefSeq and is a predicted model, not a curated record. The transcript is spliced from 3 exons.
UGGAUACUGUACUGGAGUGUUUGUGGAGUCACACUUGUAACCUGUUGUGUCUGUGAGACAAAGCAAGUGAACUUCUGGGCCCUUCAGAGGGUUUCCUCUCCUGGGAGCCCAAAUGCCAUUAUUUUUUCUUUUCUAGGUGGAAAAGGAGGAUCCUAUGUUCCAGCUGCAGGCAAUGACAGUGCCCAGGGCUCAGACGUGUCUCUCACAGCCACAGCUUGAGAAAAUGGCCUUGUGUGGAGCUGAGGAAAAAUCCUGGAGAUAUUCAAGGCUGCAUUUUCUGUCUUGUUCCUGUUGGCCUCUGGCCUCUCUCCUCCUCACUGGCCCUGGAGAUCAUCACUUGUGGGAAGCCAAUAAAAGAAUAGAUAAAAAUCUGA